UAGUUUAAUGGAAUUAAACUUGUUAGAAUACAAAUCUAAACUUAACGGACGUGGGUUCAAUUCCCACCAGCUCCA
This 75-nucleotide transfer RNA is filed under the name Cyanoptyche gloeocystis. Its description in RNAcentral is "tRNA-Cys". It matches the Rfam family "tRNA". Rfam says of the family: Transfer RNA (tRNA) molecules are approximately 80 nucleotides in length. Their secondary structure includes four short double-helical elements and three loops (D, anti-codon, and T loops). The record is from RNAcentral. Lineage: Eukaryota; Glaucocystophyceae.